RNAcentral lists this ribosomal RNA (404 nucleotides) under uncultured Glomeromycotina. Its description in RNAcentral is "SSU rRNA". It matches the Rfam family "Eukaryotic small subunit ribosomal RNA", at positions 675 to 1077 of the family's 1831-position model. The record is from RNAcentral. Lineage: Eukaryota; Fungi; Glomeromycota.
GCACUGGCUUCGCUGAUUUCCCUCCUUUCCGAAGAACUGUAAUGCCAUUAAUUUGGUGUUGCAGGGAAACAGGACUGUUACUUUGAAAAAAUUAGAGUGUUUAAAGCAGGCUAACGCUUGAAUACAUUAGCAUGGAAUAAUGAAAUAGGACGUUUGAUCCUAUUUUGUUGGUUUCUAGGAUUGACGUAAUGAUUAAUAGGGAUAGUUGGGGGCAUUAGUAUUCAAUUGUCAGAGGUGAAAUUCUUGGAUUUAUUGAAGACUAACUACUGCGAAAGCAUUUGCCAAGGAUGUUUUCAUUAAUCAAGAACGAAAGUUAGGGGAUCGAAGACGAUCAGAUACCGUCGUAGUCUUAACCAUAAACUAUGCCGACUAGGGAUCGGAUGAUGUUAAUUUUUUAAUGACUC